CUGAUUUGGACUGGAGAGAAAGGAAGUUGUAAGUAGAUGAUUUUUGACUGGAGAGAGAGGAUGUAAGUAGCUGAUUGGGACCGGAGAACGAGGAAGUAUGUAUCUGAUUUGGACUUGAGAAUGAGGAGGUUGUCGGUAGCUGAUUUGGACUGGAGAGAGAUGAAGAAAGAAGCUGAUUUGGACAGGAGAGAGAGGAAGCAGGUAGCUGAUUUGGACUGGAGACAGAGAAGGGUUUAGGGAGCUGAUUUGGAUUAGAGAGAUAGGAAGUAGGUAGCUGAUAUUGAAUGGAAAGAGAGGAAGUAGGUAGCUGAUUUGGACUGGAGAGAGAAGAUGAUUGGUACUGUGGAAAGUGGAAGUAUGAAGCUCAUGUGGACGGGAGCUAGAGGAAGUCGGUAGCUGAUUUGGAAUGGAGAGAGAGGAAGUAGGUUGCAUAUUUUAACUGGAGAGUGAAUAAGUAGGUAGUUGAUUUGGACUGGAGAAAGAGGAAUUAGGUAGCUGAUUUGGACGGGAGAGAGAGGAAAUAGGUAGCUGAUUUGGACAGGAGAGAGCGGAAGUAGGUAGUUGAUUUUGACUUGAGAGAGAGGAAUUAGGUAGCUUAUUUGAAAUGGAGAGAGUGGAAGUAGGUACCUUAUUUGGACUUGAGAGAGAGGAAGUAGGUUAUUGAUUUUGACUGGAGAAAGAAGAAGUAGAUCAUUGAUUUGGACUUAAUAAAUUGGAGGUUGUAGGUAGAUGAUUAGGACUGGAAAGAGAGUAGAUUGUAAGUAGCUGAUUUUGACUGGAGAGAGUACAAGAAGAAAGAUGAUUUGGACAGGAGAGAGGAAGUAGGUUUCUGAUUUGGACUGGAGAGAGAGGAAGUAGGUAGACGAUUUGGACUGGAGAAAGAGGAAGUAGGUAAUUGAUUUGGAUUUGAGAAAGAGGAGAUUAUAGGUAGUUGAUUUGGACUAGAGAGAGAGAGGAGGUAGGUAGCUGAUUUGGACUGUAAAGAAAGGAGGUUGUAAGUAGCUGAUUUGAGACUUGAGAGAGAGGACGUAGGUAGCUUAUUUGGACUGGAGAGAGAGGAGGAAGUAGGUAUCUGAUUUUUACUGGAGAGAGAGGAGGCUGUAAGCAGCUGAUUUGGACAGGAGAGAAAGGAAGUAAGUAGCUGAUAUGGAAUGGCAAGAGAGGAAGUAGGUAGCUGAUUCGGACUGGAAAGAGAUGAGGUUGUAGGAAGCUGAUGUGGACUGGAGAGAGAAAUGCCGUCAGUAGCUGAUUUGGACUGGAGAGAGAGGAAGUAGUUAUCUGAUUUUUACUGGAGAGAGAGGAGGCUGUAAGCAGCUGAUUUGGGCUGGAGAGAAAGGAAGUAAGUAGCUGAUAUGGAAUGGCAAGAGAGGAAUUAGGUAGCUGAUUUGGACUGGAAAGAGAUGAGGUUGUAGGUUGCUGAUGUGGACUGGAGAGAGAAAUGCCGUCGGUAGCUUAUUUGGACUGGAGAGAGAGGUUGUAUGUAGCUGAUUUGGACUGGAGAGAGAAGAUGAUUUGGACUGGAGAAAGAGGAAGUAGGUAGCGGAUUUGGACAGGAGAGAGAGGAAGUUGGUUACUGAUUUGGACUGGAGAGAGAGGAAGUAGGCAGCUUAUUUGGACUGGAGAAAGAGGAAGUAGGUCAUUGAUUUGUUCUUAAAAUGGGUAGGUUGUUGGUUGCUGAUUUGGACCGGAGAGAGAGGAGGUUGUAAGUAGCUGAUUUGACUGGAGAGAGAGGAGGUUGUAAGUAGCUGAUUUGAGACUGGAUAGAGGGGAAGUAGGUAGUUGAUUUGAACUGGAGAGAGAGGAAUUAGUUAACUGUUUUGGACUUAAAAGAGGAGGUUGUAGGUAGCUGAUUUUGACUUGAGAGAGAGGAAUUAGGUAGCUGAUUUGGAAUGGAGAGAGUGGAAGUAGGUACCUUAUUUGGACUUGAGAAAGAGGAAGUAUGUAGCUGAUUUGGACUGGAGAGAGAGGAGGAUGUAGGUAGCUGAUUUGGACUAGAGAGAGAGGAGGAUGUAGGUAGCUGAUUUGGAUUGGAGAGAGAUAGGUUGUAGGUUGCUAAUUUUGGACUGGAGAGAGACUAGAUUGUAUGUAGCUGAUUUUUACUGGAGAGAUAGGAAGCAUGUAGCUUAUUUGGACUGGAGUGAGAAGAUGAUUUUGACUGGAGAGAGAUGAAAUAGGUAGAUCAUGUGGACUGGAGAGAGAGGAAGUUGAUAGCUUAUUUGGACUGGUGAGAGAGGAAGAAGGUAGCUGAUUUGGAAUGGAGAGAGAGGAAGUAGGUAGCUUAUUUGGACUGGAGAGAGAGGAAGUAUGUACAGUAGCUGAUUUGGACUGGAGAGAGAGGAAGUCGGUAGCUGAUUUGGACUGGAGAGAGGGGAGGUUGUAGGUAGCUAAUUUGGACUGGGGAGAGAAAGAUUGUAGGUUGCUGAUUUGGACUGGAGAGAGAGAUUGCAGGUAGUUUAUUUUGACUGGAGAGAGAAGAUGAUUUGGGCUGGAGCGAGAGGAAGUAGGUAGCUGUUUUGGACUGGAGAGAGAGGCACUAGGUAAUUGAUUUGGACUGGAGAAAGAGGAAGUUGGUAAUUGAUUUGGACUUAAGAAAUAGGAGGUUGUAGGUAGCUGAUUUAGGACUGGAGAGAGAGUAAGUAGGAAGAUGAUUUGGACUGGAGAGAGUGGAAGUAGGCAGCUAAUUUGGCCUGGAGAAAGAAGAGGUUGUAAGUGGCUGAUUUGAGACUGGAUAGAGGGGAAGUAGGUAGUUGAUUUGGACUGGGGAAAGAGGAAGUAGGUAGCGGAUUUGGACUGGAGAGAGUGGAAGUAGGUAGCUGAUUUGGACUGGUGAGAGACGAAGUAUGCGGCUGAUUUGGACUGGAGAAAGAGGAAGUAGGUAGCUGAUUUGGACUGUAGAGAGAAGCGGUAGUUAGUAGCUGAUUUGAGACUGGAGAGAGGGGAUGUAGGUAGUUGAUUUAGACUGGAGGGAGAGGAAGUAGGUACUUUAUUUCAACUUAAGAAUGAGGAGGUUGUAGGUAGCUGAUUUUGACUUGAGCGAGAGGAAUUAGGUAGCUGAUUUGGAAUGUAGAGAGUGGAAGUAGGUACCUUAUUUGGACUUGAGAAAGAGGAAGUUUGUAGCUGAUUUUGACUGGACAUGAGUGGAGGUUGUAGGUAGCUGAUUUGGAUUGGAGAGAGAGAAAGGUUGUAGGUAUCUGAUUUUGGACUGGAGAGGGAGUAGAUUGGAAGUAGCUGAUUAUGACUGGAGAGAGAGGAAGUAGGUAGUUAAUUUGGACAGGAGAGAGAAGAAGUAGGUAGUUAAUUUGGACAGGAGAAAGAGUUAGUAGGUAAUUGAUUUGGACUUGAGAAAGAGCAGGUUGUAGGUAGCUGAUUUGGUUUGGAGAGAGAAAGGUUGUAGGUAGCUGAUUUUGGACUGGAGAGAGAGUAUACUGUAAGUAGCUGAUUUUGACUGGAGAGAGAGGAAGUAGGUAGUUAAUUUGGACUGGAGAAAGAGUUAGCAGGUAAAUUAUUUGGACUUGAGAAAGAGCAGGUUGUAGGUAGCUGAUUUUGGACUGGAUCGAGAGGAGGUUGUAAGUAGCUAAUUUUGACUGUGGAGAGAGGAAGUCGGUAGCUGAUUUGGACUGGAGAAAGAGGACAUUGGAAGUAUAUGAUUUGGACUUGAAUGAGUGGAAGUGUGUUGCUGAUUUGAACUGGAGAGAGAGGAAGUAGGUAGCUGAUUUGGACUGGAGAGAGAGAUUAGGUUGUAGGUAGCAGAUUUUGACUGGAGAGAGGGG
This 3770-nucleotide long non-coding RNA is filed under the name Salmo salar (Atlantic salmon). RNAcentral describes it as "lncRNA (ENSSSAG00000086769.1)". The record is from RNAcentral. Lineage: Eukaryota; Metazoa; Chordata; Actinopteri; Salmoniformes; Salmonidae.